AAUAUUGGGCAAUGGACGGAAGUCUGACCCAGCCAUGCCGCGUGAAGGAUGAAGGCGUUCUGCGUUGUAAACUUCUUUUACCAGGGAAGAAAUGAUAUUUUUCUAAAUAUUUUGACGGUACCUGAGGAGGAAGCCCCGGCUAACUACGUGCCAGCAGCCGCGGUAAUACGUAGGGGGCAAGCGUUGUCCGGAAUUAUUGGGCGUAAAGGGUGCGUAGGCGGCUUUUUAAGUCAGAUGUGAAAGACCACAGCUUAACUGUGGGGUUGCAUUUGAAACUGGAGAGCUUGAGUAUCGGAGAGGGUAGUGGAAUUCCUGGAGUAGCGGUGAAAUGCGUAGAUAUCAGGAGGAACACCAGUGGCGAAGGCGACUACCUGGACGAAAACUGACGCUGAGGCACGAAAGCUAGGGGAGCAAAC
Molecule: ribosomal RNA, 416 nt
Filed under: uncultured bacterium
Lineage: Bacteria
Description: partial 16S ribosomal RNA
Rfam family: Bacterial small subunit ribosomal RNA
Source: RNAcentral